CGCGCGAUACAGGGUGACAGCCCCGUACACAAAAGCGCAUGUGCUGUGAGCUCGAUGAGUAGGGCGGGACACGUGGUAUCCUGUCUGAAUAUGGGGGGACCAUCCUCCAAGGCUAAAUACUCCUGACUGACCGAUAGUGAACCAGUACCGUGAGGGAAAGGCGAAAAGAACCCCGGCGAGGGGAGUGAAAAAGAACCUGAAACCGUGUACGUACAAGCAGUGGGAGCACAGGUUUACCUGUGUGACUGCGUACCUUUUGUAUAAUGGGUCAGCGACUUAUAUUCUGUAGCAAGGUUAACCGAAUAGGGGAGCCGGAGGGAAACCGAGUCUUAAUUGGGCGUUAAGUUGCAGGGUAUAGACCCGAAACCCGGUGAUCUAGCCAUGGGCAGGUUGAAGGUUGGGUAACACUAACUGGAGGACCGAACCGACUAAUGUUGAAAAAUUAGCGGAUGACCUGUGGCUGGGGGUGAAAGGCCAAUCAAACCGGGAGAUAGCUGGUUCUCCCCGAAAGCUAUUUAGGUAGCGCCUCGUGAAUUCAUCUCCGGGGGUAGAGCACUGUUUCGGCUAGGGGGCCAUCCCGGCUUACCAACCCGAUGCAAACUGCGAAUACCGGAGAAUGUUAUCACGGGAGACACACGGCGGGUGCUAACGUCCGUCGUGAAGAGGGAAACAACCCAGACCGCCAGCUAAGGUCCCAAAGUCAUGGUUAAGUGGGAAACGAUGUGGGAAGGCCCAGACAGCCAGGAUGUUGGCUUAGAAGCAGCCAUCAUUUAAAGAAAGCGUAAUAGCUCACUGGUCGAGUCGGCCUGCGCGGAAGAUGUAACGGGGCUAAACCAU
This 837-nucleotide ribosomal RNA is filed under the name Salmonella enterica. RNAcentral's name for it is "partial 23S ribosomal RNA". It matches the Rfam family "Bacterial large subunit ribosomal RNA", at positions 351 to 1190 of the family's 2925-position model. Lineage: Bacteria; Pseudomonadati; Pseudomonadota; Gammaproteobacteria; Enterobacterales; Enterobacteriaceae. The record is from RNAcentral.